This 403-nucleotide ribosomal RNA is filed under the name uncultured bacterium. RNAcentral describes it as "bacterial SSU rRNA". It matches the Rfam family "Bacterial small subunit ribosomal RNA", at positions 976 to 1380 of the family's 1533-position model. The record is from RNAcentral.
AGGUCUUGACAUCCCGAUGACCGGUGUAGAGAUACACCUUCUCUUCGGAGCAUCGGUGACAGGUGGUGCAUGGUUGUCGUCAGCUCGUGUCGUGAGAUGUUGGGUUAAGUCCCGCAACGAGCGCAACCCUUAUUGUUAGUUGAUACAUUUAGUUGAUCACUCUAGCGAGACUGCCGUUGAUAAAACGGAGGAAGGUGGGGACGACGUCAAAUCAUCAUGCCCCUUAUGACCUGGGCUACACACGUACUACAAUGGCAGUCAUACAGAGGGAAGCAAAGCCGUGAGGUGGAGCAAAUCCCUAAAAGCUGUCUCAGUUCAGAUUGUAGGCUGCAACUCGCCUACAUGAAGUCGGAAUUGCUAGUAAUCGCGGAUCAGCAUGCCGCGGUGAAUACGUUCCCGGGCC